Dreissena polymorpha is the source of this 9755-nucleotide RNA transcript. It is a transcript of the gene named putative nuclease HARBI1, with no coding region annotated. The record is from RefSeq and is a predicted model, not a curated record. Lineage: Eukaryota; Metazoa; Mollusca; Bivalvia; Myida; Dreissenidae. The transcript has 6 exons.
GUCGCAGACACUCAUGGUGUAAGCAGAAGCACAGUUUGCAGAGUAAUUGGCCAAGUUGUCAAUAGUAUAAAUGCAAAUAUUGACAAUAUAAGAUUUCCCACGCAGCCUCAGAGCUUGCUCCAGACGAAACGCGAAUUUUACAGAAAGUGCUCGCUGCCGAAUAUUGUGGGUGCUAUUGAUGGCACUUUGGUACCAAUAGUGGCACCAACAGAGAGUGAAGAGGUGUACGUGUGCAGGAAAGGGUUUCAUGCCCUUAAUUGUCAGGCGGUCUCCUCACCAGACCUGAAAUUCCUGGAUGUUGUUGCUCGGUGGCCGGGUUCCACCCAUGAUUCUGCAAUAUUUGAAAAUUCCCGGUUGAAGGACUACCUUGAUAACCAUAAUGGGAUGAUACUUCUUGGGAACAGUGGGUAUGCUCUCAAGAGGUAUCUGCUUACACCCAUCCCUGCCCCCCGUAAUGAGCAAGAACACCUGUAUAAUAGACGGCAUAGGCAAGGUCGAUUGUGCAUAGAGAGAACCUUUGGUCUACUCAAGUAAAGAUUCAGAUGCCUUCACAAGACUGGUGGUGUGUUACCAUUCAAGCCACAAAAAUGUGCAAGCGUAUUCAUGGCAUGUUGUCGCUUGCACAACCUGUGCUUGCAGAACGGUCUUCCAGAACCACCAGAACUUGAUUUGGAGGAGGAUCAUGAUCAGGAAGUGGACGCACCUGACAACAACCUUGGUGGUCAGGCUGUGGGCAAUCAAUUUGUACAAGUACGUUGAUUGAUUGAAUAUGAUGGUUCAUAUGUGAGAGAUAUCCAGGCAUAGGUCACUUACAGCUUGCUGUAUGGCCUGGAUAUCUCCCACAUAUGAACCAUGUCUCAUGUAUAAAAAUUUGUCAUUGUGUUUGUUAUUGUGUGGAUUGAUUGGAUAUGAUGGUUCAUAUGUGAGAGAUAUCCAGGCAUAGGUCACUUACAGCUUGCUGUAUGGCCUGGAUAUCUCCCACAUAUGAACCAUGUCUUAUUUAUAAAUAUUUGUCAUGUUUGUGUGUUUGAGUUUGUGGAUUGAUUGGACAUGUUGGUUCAUAUGUGAGAGAUAUCCAGCAAUAGGUCACUUACAGCUUGCUGUAUGGCAUGAAUAUCUCUCACAUAUGAACCAUGUCUCAUUUGUUAAUAUUUGCCAUUUUUGUGUUUAUGUUCUUUUGUGGAUUAAUUGGACAUGAUAGUUCAAAUGGGAGAGAUAUCCAGGCAUAGGUCACUUACAGCUUGCUGUAUGGCAUGAAUAUCUCUCACAUAUGGACCAUGUAUAUAUAAUAUAAGUGUUAUUCUGUACAUUUUGCUUCUGAAGCCAUAUUAAAUGUGUACAUUGAUUUUAGACGGUGGUUCAUAUGUGAGAGAGAUCCAUUCAUAGGUCACUUACAGCUUGCUGUAUGGCAUGGAUAUCUGUUACAUAUGAACCAUGUCUCAUUUGUAAAUAUUUGCCAUUUUUGUGUUUGUUUUUAGCUUACCUGAGCACAACGUGCUCAUGGUGAGCUUUUGUGAUCGCCUUUUGUCUGUCGUGUGUAGUGCGUCGUCAACAUUUGCCUUGUGAACACUCUAGAGGACACAUUUAUUGUCUGAUCCUCAUGAAAUUUGGUCAGAACAUUUGUCCCAUUGAUACCUCGACUGAGUUCGAAACUGGGUCAUGCUGGGUCAAAAACUAGGUCACUAGGUAAAAAAAAAGAAAUACCUUGUGAACACUGUAGAAGUCACAUUUGAUGCCCAAUCUUCAUGUAACUUUGUCAACAAAUUGAAUCAUGCAUUAUUUUGCAAGUUGGACAUCAUAGUACCUGUUUUUAUACACCCAUUUUGAAAAAGGGGCGUAUUAUAGUUUCACCCUUUAAUUAAAUAGUUUUCAUCCGAUCUUCACCAAACUUGGUCACAAGUUGUAUCUAGACAAUAUCUAGGUCAAGUUUGAAUACGGGUCAUGCCGGGUCAAAAACUAGGUCAUGGGGUCAUCAUCAUCAUUAUCGUCAUCGGGUCAUUAAGUGCAUUUCAAGGAUUUAGCAUGGUGUCCGCUCUCUAAGUAGUUUUCAUCAUAUCUUCACUAAAUUUGGUUAGAAGUUGUAUCUAGACCAUAUCUAGGUCUUGUUUGAAUAUGGGUCAUACCGGGUCAAAAACUAGGUCAUGGGGUCACUUUGUGCAUUUCAAGGAUUUAGCAUGGUGUCUGCUCUCUUAUUUAAGUAUUUUUUAUCCAAUCUUCACUAAAUUUGGUCAAAAGUUGUAUCUAGACCAUAUCUAGGUCAUGUUCGAAUAUGGGUCAUGCCGGGUCAAAAACUAGGUCACAGGGUCACUUAGUGCAUUUCAAGGAUUUAGCAUGGUGUCAACUGAUCUUCACCAAAUUUAGUCAAAAGUUGUGUCUAAAUGUUAUGUAGGUCAAGUGCAAAUAUGGGUCAUGCCGGGUUAGAAACUAGGUCACUACGUUACUUAGUGCAUUGCUUGCAUUUAGCAUGGUUUUCCAAGACCUUCAAACGGGCGUUUCUUGUGACAGUUUGGCACUCUUGUUUAAAAUGAAGCUGUGUUGUUUUUAGUGAAUAAAAAAUAAAUUGUUGUAUGAAAUACAAGAUUUUGACAAAAACAACAACAGCUUUUGUUCUUAUUUACACUGCAAACAAUUAUUCAAACAUAUGAACCGCUGUAUUAUCCCGCAGUCUAGAUAAGAAAUGAGUUGGACAAAAGAAGUGUUACUUCUUACAUGCAAAUGUACAACUAUACAUUGUAUCUCCUAUUUAGGAUGAAUCAUGGGAUCCUAGACAUGAAACUGGUUAUAAAUGAACUGUCAAAUUUCGGGGAGCAUAAAAAUAAUGCAUUGAACAUAAAACAGCUCAAUUCAAGUAAUAUUUAUUAAUCAAGUCGGGUAUAUAAACAUUUUAACACAAGCUCUGAAAGCUUUUUAAGCCGGCUUAUAAACUAAACAUGUACAUAAUAACACAAUAGCACAUACAGUUACAUAAAUUAAUACACAUUUAAAACAUACAGUAAUAUAACUAAAGACACAUUAUUAAAGCACAUUGUUACAUAGCCUAAGACAUAUUAUUAAAGCACAUACAGUAACAUACCUUUUUUCCUGUUGAAAUUAUUUUAUUCAUUCCAUAAUAUAUAUACUUACAAAAUUUACUAAGUAAUGCACAUUCAUAUAUUAAUCUACCAUAUGUAAUGUGUUUUCACAAUAUCAUUAAAUUCAUUACACAAUUUGAAUUAAUAUCAUACAUCCUUCAACCUUUUUUACUUCAUCGACUUGGCUUAAAUAUUCUUUAUGUACAACACAAUAAUAAGUGCGUAUUGAACGAAGAAAGGUUUUGAUUGACCAUAGCAAUUUAUCUAUGGUUACAAGUUCAAACAAGAUAAGCCGAUUAUGUAUCAUUUUACAUAACAAUCAAUUAAAAUUUAUUAUCAAUAUGCACACAACAUAGUCAGAUUUGAUCAAGUAAAAAAAAAAGGAAACAUUUCAUACAUAAUGAGAGUUAAAGACAAAACCCAAUUAUGUAUCAUUUGCUAGUGUUAUUAAAUAACAAAGUUUCAACUUUGGAUUUACAAUCAGAGUGAAGAUUACACAAAUUAUCAAUUCAAAUUUAUGAUCAAUAUGCACACAACAUAGUAAGAUUUGAUUAAGUAAACAAACUUUGCACAUUUCAUAAUUAUGUAAUGAUAGUUAAAGACAAAACCCCACUAUGUUUCAUUUGCUAGUGUUGUUAAAUAACAAAGUUUGGAUUUACAAUCAGAGUGCAGUUUGCAAUUAUUAUUAAAUUACAUUUAUGAUCACUAUGCACACAACAUAGUAAGAUUUGAUCAAGUAGACAAACUUUGCACAUUUCAUAAAUUAUGUAAUGAGAGUUAAGGACAAAACUCAAUUAUGGAUCAUUUGCUUGUGUUGUUAAAUAACAACGUUUGGGUUUACAAUAAGAGUGCAGUUUACAAAUACAAUAAAUUUAAAUUUAUAAUCAAUACGCAAACAACAUAGUAAGAUUUGAUCAAGUAAACAAACUUUGCACAUUUCAUAUAUAAUGAGAAUUAAAGACAGUUAUUUUUGUUAAUCAUGUUAUUACGAAACAUAUUCCUCUUAUAACUGUCCAAUACAGUUACAUAACUUAAGACACAUUAUUAAAGCACGUACAGUUACAUAACUUAAGACACAUUAUUAAAAAUGUUAAACAUGACGAAAUGAACAAUACAUCGCAACACAAUAUUGGAUAACACAACUGAUUAUUUAUUUGACCAAUCGGGUGUUUCGGUUGCAAUAGUUUGAUGGACUCACUACUUGGAUGUGUAGUUACAUUAUUUACAGUAUAUCAAACGGUAUUUAGCAUGAACCAAUGAUUUUUUCAAACAUAAAUAAUUGAUGUAAAAUGCUUGAAGGAAUAAUAUUUAAGGUUUAAGAAGGCAUUUUCUUUUUGUUUUAAAGGAUAUCUUUGAAAAUUAUAUUUUUUAUGAAUUUUUUGGCAACAAGGGGUAACGCAGUUUUAAAAAAUGUAAUUAAUUUUCUGACAAAAAACUGGUACCAUGAGUAGCAUGAAACAAUAAUUUUUUUAAACAUUUGUAAUUGAUGAAAAAUGAUUGCAAAAAUAAUAUCUAGGGUCUAAUAAAGCAUUUUUUAUUUUAUUUUAAUAGGUUACUCAGAAUAUUCUAUUUUUCAUGAUUUUUUUUUGCAACAAGGGGUUAUGAAAUUAAAAAAAUGUUACUGGAUUUUAUGACCAAAACUGGUACUAUGAUAAUACUAUGAUGCACUUCGCCAAAACAUUUAUAAUUAUAUUGUUUAUUCUUGAAAAUGUAUUUCCCCUAUUCACUAAAAAUAACACCUUUGAUCAGAAAAUUCAUAUAUAAUGAUGUUUACUUUUAUUUUCAAGAAUCAUAAUGCCUCUUUUUAGUUGUAUUCAGCCACAAGUUCUUGUCAGCCACUUAAGGGUUAUAUGUUGCCUUUCUUUUACUAAAUGCAAAAUAAUUCUACACUUUGAGACAUUCAUAAAAUAUUAUUUGUCUUUACAACACCGACGGGCUUAUAAAUUUAUAUAUCAAGUACUUCCAUACUAACAGGACCAUUUUAGGCGGGCAACCUAGCAACCUUGAUUUGUUCAUAUCUUCCUAUCAAUCUGUUAUAUGUGUUAUGAAUCAUUUGUUCGGAGAACAUUUAAUGUUUGUUAUAACUUUUAAAUAAUUCAAUGUUCAAAGUGAUAUUGUUAUUGACCGAUAAACCAACAUACUGAUUAAAAGGGAAUAUUUUCUUAAUUAUUAUGCCCCCCUUCGAAGAAGAGGGGGUAUAUUGCUUUGCUCAUGUCGGUCAGUUUGUCGGUCCGUCCACCAGAUGGUUUCCGGAUGAUAACUCAAGAACGCUUAGGCCUAGGAUCAUGAAACUUCAUAGGAACAUUGAUCAUGACUCGCAGAUGACCCCUAUUGAUUUUAAGGUCACUUGGUCAAAGGUCAAGGUCACAGGUGAAGGUCACAGUUACUUGAAAUAGGUAUUGUAAGGAUUUAGCAUGGUUCAAACAAGGGAAACAACUACCGUUUAUGCAUGUUCUUUUUGUUACAGCAUUUGCCUCCCUUGUAAUAUAUUUAAAUUUUACCAAAUGUAAGGCUAACUGCAUUUUUGUAAUGCAUUGUAUCAAUAAACAUCGGGCAAAAAUGAAAUUAAGGUUGCAUUAUCUCUACCUAGUUAUGCCACCAACCACCACCACCACCACCACCAACCAGGGGGUAUAUUGCUUUGCUCAUGUCGGUCAGUCUGUCGGUCCGUCCACCAGAUUGUUUCCGGAUGAUAACUCAAGAACGCUUAGGCCUAGGAUCAUGAAACUUCAUAGGAACAUUGAUCAUGACUCGCAGAUGACCCGUAUUGAUUUUGAGGUCACUUGGUCAAAGGUCAAGGUCACAGUAGAAGGUCACAGUUACUGGAAAUAGGCAUUUUAAGGAUUUAGCAUGGUUCAAACAAGGGAAACAACUACCGUUUAUGCAUGUUCUUUUUGUUACAGCAUUUGCCUCCCUUGUAAUAUAUUUAAAUUUUACCAAAUGUAAGGCUAACUGCAUUUUUGUAAUGCAUUGUAUCAAUAAACAUCGGGCAAAAAUGAAAUUAAGGUUGCAUUAUCUCUACCUAGUUAUGCCCCCAACCACCACCACCACCACCAGUUAGUCAUUAAAUGCUUUAUAUUGAUAAAUGGAAACAUUGGAUCUUAAAAGCUCCAGUUAUAAAUCCAGAAUAAAAUUCUUUAAAAAAAAGAAGUCUGCAGCAGGGCUCGAACCAGUGACCCCCUUUGUCCUGGAGUAAAAACGCACUAGUCUGCUCGACUAUUCUGCGAAGUAUAAAUGGUUGAUGUAUUUUAUACCUAAUAUAAGCAAUCUUUGUAGUUUCACACAAUUAAACAACAACAACAUAACUCUCCAAAUUAUUCAAUCGUUUCGCGUUGCAACGCGUUAUAAUUUUUAAAUCGUUAAAAGAUGCAUAUAAUGGCUAUAUUAGACCAUGGUAAAUGUUCAGUAAUACUGUUUCCUAAAAAUAACAUAACUAAAACGAAAAUUUGCGAAUCCGAUACAACUUUUUUCAAUUUUUGUCCAUUAACCAAAACGUGAAAAGAUCCCUUUAAAGUUAAAUGAACUGUAUCCCAGUAAAAGAGACAUUAAGGCGAUUGUGGCCAGUUUAGAUCCAGUUCAGCCUGCAGUUGCUUGAAAGCUGUUUGCUUAAGAGCGGUUUUCUGACAAUGACAAAUAGUUUAAUUGGAUACUGAUUAGACUGCCCUUUUCCUGUGACCAGGCUACCGGUAAUUAAAUUCAGAAGCAUGGUAACAGUUUAACGUUAAUGUAACCAAUGUGUCAGACCAGGGCCUGGAUUUUGAAAUCUAGGACAUGCAUGGUCAGAAUAUGUCAUUUUAGAUUAUACAUUUUUUCAAACACAUACAAAUGCAUACAAAUUUAAAUAGUAAAAUGCACUAAGUCAGAAGGCAUUUGACUUCGGCUGGUGCCUUGGCACACCAGGGGGCCGUCUCAUUAACGGUUGCAGCGCAGUUGCAGUUGCAAAUUUGCUAAUAAUUGCAACUUGCAACAUUGUGUCCGUUUCAUUAAAAAGUUGCAGUUGCAACGUGCACCUGCUGGUUGCAAAUUUGUAUAGCGCGUUUGCAACUGCCAGUGAGGUGGUGCAGACGGUAGUAAAAUGGCCGAAAUUGAAGCUUAUGUACGCUUACAGCGACGGAAUCGGCGAAAUGUAAGACAAUUCCGUCCUUGCAUUCAAUUCGUGAAUGUUCGAGACAUGGAUUUUGUGUCAAGGUAUCGGGUUGACCGCGCUACGGCCCAAGAAUUGAUUGAAAUAGUUGGGCAGGAUUUAUCCCGCGGGACUCAGGGAGGACACUCCAUACCUCCUGACACACAGGCAAGUUUUUGCUCGGAAAUUUAUGAAUCAAUCUGUUUCCUUUUAUAGUAGUGAAUAACCUGACCCAAAUUUCGUAUGUUGUACAUGUAUGAACAUCCGGUAACAACUACCGUUGUAGAGAUGGCAAUGGUUUUAAUUAUGCCCUCCCCCCCCCCCUUCGAAGAAGAGGGGGUAUAUUGCUUUGCUCAUGUCGGACGGUCUGUCGUUCUGUCGGUCCGUCCACCAGGUGGUUGUCAGACGAUAACUCAAGAACGCUUGGGCCUAGGAUCAUGAAACUUUAUAGGUACAAUGAUCAUGACUCGCAGAUGACCCCUAUUGAUUUUGAGGUCACUAGGUCAAAGGUCAAGGUCACGGUGACCCGAAAUAGUAAAAUGAUUUUCGGAUGAUAACUCAAGAACGCAUAUGCCUAGGAUCAUGAAACUUCAUAGGUAGAUUGAUCAUGACUCGCAGAUGACCCCUAUUGAUUUUGAGGUCACAAGGUCAAAGGUCAAGGUCACGGUGACCCGAAAUAGUAAAAUGAUUUUCGGAUGAUAACUCAAGAACGCUUUUGCCUAUGAUCAUGACACUUCAUAGGAACAUUGAUCGAGACUUGCAGAUGACCCCUAUUGAUUUUCAGGUCACUAGGUCGAAGGUCAAGGUCACAGUGACAAAACGUAUUCACACAAUGGCUGCCAGUACAACGGACAGCCCAUAUGGGGGGCAUGCAUGUUUUACAAACAGCCCUUGUUUGAAUUUGUAUAUGGUGUCAAAAGUCAAAAGUUUUGUACACGGAACUUUCAUUAUGAAUUUAUAUUUUUGGUGAGAUAGUUAUUUGAUAUUCCAAAAAUAUUCCUUUAAUAUUAUGGUGACUGCAAAUUUUCUUUAUAUUAAGUUCUCAUUACCAUUUCAUCAUACUUUCUAUGCUUUCAGAACGUCCAAAAAGCCAUGUCGUUUUUAUUUUGUCUAAGUUAUUUCUAUGAAAUAAUAAGGAUGAUAAAAAGUGCACACAAAACUCGACCCGUGCGCUAUGACACACACUUUAUAAAUUUGAAUGGCGUGUGUUCAUUUCAAUAUUGCGACUGAUUUUGAAAAAUGAAUUGCGUGUUAAAUUAUGCAAUAACGAACAUCUUUAGUGCCUUCAGCGCUUUGAUCUAAACUCGUGCUUUUCCGGGAUAAGUCUAUACGUAUGCAAUUUCCACGCAGAGUUGCCGUUCCUUACGGUGGCAUAGAGGUGACAUUCAUUCCUCUUUUUUCGGCGUAAGCUGUAUUAAGCCAGCUUUUCACCUUAGCCUGACCUUUGUUAGCGUCCAAUAGAAUUCAAAUAAAAAUUCCCGCGGCAAAGUACAGAUGAAUACACUUCAUUGACUGCAUUGGCUGAUUUGAGGAUACGACCAGAACAUUGGAAACAUGUCCGCGUCUUUGUAACACUGUUUUACUGCGUGUUCAGCAUGAAACAAUUUUAUAUCUUAUGAAAAGGCUUAAUAAAUAGAACAGUUUUACACUCAAUCUCGACAUCAAUACAGUUUGUGCGUCCACCUUUUAUUUUCAGAAGAUUUUCAGCGCGAGAACGUUUGCACUUAAAGGCUAUGUUUUCAUAUUUAGUACUAACUUCCAUAUUCCUGUCAACAUGUUAACAUGUUAAAGUAUAGAGAGCAGUGGAAGCGAAGACUCACUUUAAUGCAUUGCAUUUCAACUCGCGAGGUAUAUCGGGUCAAUUUGCGGCCACUGUGAGUGAAUGUCAGAGUUUACGUACAGGUCAUCGCUGCGUCUCUACCCUAUGUGCUGAUCGGAGCUCGCGGCCAGGAAAAUAAUCGAUACAUAACUGGAAUUUUCUUUAGACCAGACAGAUGUUAAAUGAAGAUAUCCAGCGAUAUCAUAUGGUAUGUCUAUAAUAGAUUCUAAAUGUGUUUUACAACAAUACCAUGAUAAAUAUUAUUUUUAAUUAAUUUAACAAGAAUUAUGCCAUCAUAUUGACUAAUGAAUUAAGCAUGAGCGCAAUGAUUCUCGAUACUGUUAAUAAUCGAAUCAAAUAGUAACGCCAGACAAACCACUAAAACAGGUUUGUUCGAAGAACGCGCGUAUAAAUAUUUAAAAUAUGUACGGAUACUUCGCGUGUGGCCGGUUGACUCAUAUGUUUUAAUUUCACUUCCAUUCUUCUUUUGGUUUUCUGUUUUGUAUCUAUGCGUUUAUGACCAGCAAUAUGUAAUAAUGUAAAAUAAGCCGCGAAAACUCCGCGUAUCAUCCCGUACUGCGUUUUCUGCAGCUAAGAACUGCACAGAAAAAGACAUUCGCUAUCUUUGAUCUCAUUCAUUGAAGUCUUUACCUUUCAUUAACUGCAACCACAAUCAACGCCGUAUAUCUUUUUUUAAAGAUAUUUCUUGUUUAAAUUGCACUCCUCUUUUUUCUAUCUCGUG